Ictalurus punctatus (channel catfish) is the source of this 2260-nucleotide long non-coding RNA. Lineage: Eukaryota; Metazoa; Chordata; Actinopteri; Siluriformes; Ictaluridae. The record is from Ensembl.
GGAACAUGCUGGAAAAUGUUUGUGGGGAGUGCACUAAUUAGGUUAUCAUUAAGAAUUAAGACCUCUAGUUUACUCAAGUCCCUGAAAACAGCAUGAUCAAUGUCUCUUAAAAGGUUAAAAUCAGCUUGGAGAUACUCCAAAUCAUCCAAACCAAGAAAAGUGUUCUUUUUAAACGACCGGAUCUUGUUGUUGUUUAUAUGCAGGCGCUUGACCAGCUGCAGGCCGAGGAAGGCGCCGGGGACGAUGUCAUGUAAGCCGUUGUUCUCCAAAUGCAAGCUGACUGCAUUGUAGAAGUUGGCGAACUCAUUGGGAAACAGUCUGGAUAGGGAAUUCCCAUGCAGCAGCAAGUGAUAAAACUGCGAGCUCGGACCAGUCAAGUGCUGCAGGUUGCUGAAACCGCGCUUUUCGCAAUCGAUGUGCAAAUCGCCCUCUACUGCACUGCACGAGCAGAUCUCCUCCUUGCACACGUCGCUUGUACUGUUCCCGAGAGCUGCACAAAGAGCCGCCUUCAGCAACACAAUCCACAGCAGCAUUUUUUCAAUGCUGACGAUUCAUCCCCGCAGUCCGAGACAUGGAAAAACUAUCAGAUCAUGGAUGUCUGCGUUCCUCCAGACGCAAACUGACAGACAUAUAGAUCAGCAGUCUGCAGAAACAGGAGGACAAUUCAUGUUUUGAUACAUGCCAUCCAACUCUGGUUAAACAUUUUUUCCAUCAUCUUAUUUACAAAACACUAAAAAAAGCAUCAUCAUCAUUAUCAUCAUCAUCUAAUGUCUCAGAUUACAAUGUGAGAUUAAUCUUACCAAAUAAGUGACCUUGUGUACCCCCCCCAAAAAAAAAUUCUCCUUUAGUGUAUAUUUUGGUAUUCCUCACGGAAGGAAGGGAGCUGUCCGUUCUCCCUUGGUUCUGAAAUCCCAAUGCAUCGCCACGGAGAGGACAAAUAAAGACAUAAAAAUAAAAAAAAGAAUAAAGAGAAAGAAUGAGCUAGAAGGAUGAAUCAGUGCGCAAUUAUCACAUCCUCACAAUUCCAUUCUGCUUCUUCUCCUUCUCCGCACUCCGGCGCUUUUUCAGCAUGUCUAAAGAAACGCUCGGUGCUGCAUCUAACCCCCUCUGCCGAGCUGCAGUGGAAAUAAUCCAUCGAUGUGACGUUUGGAUCGUUUUUAUGUUUGUUUGUGUGUUUGUUUAAAUCGAGCUACAAACAAUAGCAACAAUCUGAUGGUAAAAAUGGGGAAAAAAUCAAAAGUGCACGCACAAAUUCCGAAAAAAAGCGUCUUUCUGGCUAUGUCCGUGUUUGGAUGGUGUUCAGAUUGUCGUUUGUGAACCGCAUCGUGCGCGCUCAAUCAUUUCAAAACUGUUAUAUCCUCCAAAAAGACAAAAAAAAUCAACAAAAAAAAAUCUCAGCUUCUCAGAGUGAUCGUUUCAUUCCCGGAAUAUGUAUUUUUUUUUUUGAAGCGGAGCGAUUUUUUCCUCCUUUCUUCAGCGGAAGAGAGAAGAAAGGCGAGUAUGCACUGCGCCUGCUCAGGGAUACAGUCAGAGGACGAGUCUGCGAGUGUUAAUUUCUACGACAAUUUGGUGUCUCCUGGCUGGGCUGCGUGAAUCUUUCAGCUUUUCUGGACAACAAGCAAACCGGAGGACGCCUGUGGAAAAGUUUCAUCCUGAAGUCCAUGUUGACACAGGUGGUUUGCCCUUUAUUAUGCAGAGCGAAAGACCGACACAGCCUUACCACUGACUGGUAGGAAUCAUCAAAAAAAAAAAACAGCCUUAAAGUAAAUUAGAAUUUUAUAAAGUCAUUGUGUAUUGCUGUCUGUAUGGAAGGGAGUCAAUGAUAUAAGAAAUGCGUGUAUUACAUUGAGCGAUUUCUUAUAAGAAGUUUGAGGAACUUUGCCUCUGCAACGGCAGAGAUAUUGGUGUUUCUUAGAUCAUAGCUUCAAAACUAAGCUAUAUACCGACGGGUAUAUACUGUAUAGAGAGAGAGAAAGAUAACGGUAAAAAUAAACGGAAAGAGUCAGUUUCGAGGAAUAAAUAAGUAAAGAGAGUACUUUUUAAGAAGCGCAAGAGACGCAGUAUUUUUACGGCGGAUUAUCAUCAAGUGGCAUGCCCCAUUGACUCAUUCUAUCAGAUCAGCGUUACACGAUAUAUUUGGCAAAUUUAACGCAGAAGUAAAUUUUACUGAGAUAAAAAAAAGAAGGGAGGAGAAAACUGUAAGUCCAACCAAAUUGCUGUAUGUGGACUCGCCCUCACAGGUUCAGGUGCGGACGAAGAC